Molecule: small RNA, 493 nt
Filed under: Pan troglodytes (chimpanzee)
Lineage: Eukaryota; Metazoa; Chordata; Mammalia; Primates; Hominidae
Description: processed transcript
Source: RNAcentral
CACCUGCCAUGCCGUGAGGACAUUCAAACUGCCUAUGGAGAGGUCCACAUAGUGAAAAACUAAGGCCCCUGCCAAAACCCAUAUCAGAUACCAUCAGCAUAAUGUCAUCGAUGCAGUGGACCAGUGUGACAUGGGGAACAUAAAGAUGGUCACGAUUUUUGCAGACUCCAUAUGCAAAGUAUUAUAGGCCUUUCCAUCUAUCCGGAGUGACCUACCAGAGACAGGACAGUGUGACCAGCAAGCUUCUGAUCACUCUUCAACACCCAGCAAGCAGUCUUAUCCUCCAUGCAGCCUUCUAAGACCUCUCUAAGCACAGGUAUCAGAUCCUCCUCUGGAUCACUCUGUCUUGUUACUGCAUUUAUCUCACUGGAUUUCAGUGAAGUGUGUAGACAACUAAUUUGUGCCUGCCUGAUCUGUGAGCUCUUCAUUCAAAGCAGUUGGCUCCUGAGUACAGGAUAAACCCCUAGAAUUGAAUAAAUUUGGUCUUACCUCA